GGAGGAUUGUCCGAGUGGUUUAUGGUGCUUGUCUCGAAAACAAGUCGGCUGAAAGGCCCCACAGGUUCGAAUCCUGUAUCCUCCG
This 85-nucleotide transfer RNA is filed under the name Alistipes sp. CAG:435. RNAcentral's name for it is "transfer RNA-Ser(CGA)". It matches the Rfam family "tRNA". Rfam says of the family: Transfer RNA (tRNA) molecules are approximately 80 nucleotides in length. Lineage: Bacteria; Pseudomonadati; Bacteroidota; Bacteroidia; Bacteroidales; Rikenellaceae. RNAcentral also lists the same sequence under 6 other names. The record is from RNAcentral.